CACAUAUUGUGAGCUUGAUGAGUAGGGCGGGACACGUGGUAUCCUGUCUGAAUAUGGGGGGCCCAUCCUCCAAGGCUAAAUACUCCUGACUGACCGAUAGUGAACCAGUACCGUGAGGGAAAGGCGAAAAGAACCCCGGCGAGGGGAGUGAAAAAGAACCUGAAACCGUGUACGUACAAGCAGUGGGAGCACGCUUAGGCGUGUGACUGCGUACCUUUUGUAUAAUGGGUCAGCGACUUAUAUUCUGUAGCAAGGUUAACCGAAUAGGGGAGCCGAAGGGAAACCGAGUCUUAACUGGGCGUUAAGUUGCAGGGUAUAGACCCGAAACCCGGUGAUCUAGCCAUGGGCAGGUUGAAGGUUGGGUAACACUAACUGGAGGACCGAACCGACUAAUGUUGAAAAAUUAGCGGAUGACUUGUGGCUGGGGGUGAAAGGCCAAUCAAACCGGGAGAUAGCUGGUUCUCCCCGAAAGCUAUUUAGGUAGCGCCUCGUGAAUUCAUCUCCGGGGGUAGAGCACUGUUUCGGCAAGGGGGUCAUCCCGACUUACCAACCCGAUGCAAACUGCGAAUACCGGAGAAUGUUAUCACGGGAGACACACGGCGGGUGCUAACGUCCGUCGUGAAGAGGGAAACAACCCAGACCGCCAGCUAAGGUCCCAAAGUCAUGGUUAAGUGGGAAACGAUGUGGGAAGGCCCAGACAGCCAGGAUGUUGGCUUAGAAGCAGCCAUCAUUUAAAGAAAGCGUAAUAGCUCACUGGUCGAGUCGGCCUGCGCGGAAGAUGUAACGGGGCUAAACCAUGCACCGAAGCUGCGGCAGCGACGCUUAUGCGUUGUUGGGUAGGGGAGCGUUCUGUAAGCCUGCGAAGGUGUGCUGUGAGGCAUGCUGGAGGUAUCAGAAGUGCGAAUGCUGACAUAAGUAACGAUAAAGCGGGUGAAAAGCCCGCUCGCCGGAAGACCAAGGGUUCCUGUCCAACGUUAAUCGGGGCAGGGUGAGUCGACCCCUAAGGCGAGGCCGAAAGGCGUAGUCGAUGGGAAACAGGUUAAUAUUCCUGUACUUGGUGUUACUGCGAAGGGGGGACGGAGAAGGCUAUGUUGGCCGGGCGACGGUUGUCCCGGUUUAAGCGUGUAGGCUGGUUUUCCAGGCAAAUCCGGAAAAUCAAGGCUGAGGCGUGAUGACGAGGCACUACGGUGCUGAAGCAACAAAUGCCCUGCUUCCAGGAAAAGCCUCUAAGCAUCAGGUAACAUCAAAUCGUACCCCAAACCGACACAGGUGGUCAGGUAGAGAAUACCAAGGCGCUUGAGAGAACUCGGGUGAAGGAACUAGGCAAAAUGGUGCCGUAACUUCGGGAGAAGGCACGCUGAUAUGUAGGUGAAGUCCCUUGCGGAUGGAGCUGAAAUCAGUCGAAGAUACCAGCUGGCUGCAACUGUUUAUUAAAAACACAGCACUGUGCAAACACGAAAGUGGACGUAUACGGUGUGACGCCUGCCCGGUGCCGGAAGGUUAAUUGAUGGGGUCAGCGCAAGCGAAGCUCUUGAUCGAAGCCCCGGUAAACGGCGGCCGUAACUAUAACGGUCCUAAGGUAGCGAAAUUCCUUGUCGGGUAAGUUCCGACCUGCACGAAUGGCGUAAUGAUGGCCAGGCUGUCUCCACCCGAGACUCAGUGAAAUUGAACUCGCUGUGAAGAUGCAGUGUACCCGCGGCAAGACGGAAAGACCCCGUGAACCUUUACUAUAGCUUGACACUGAACAUUGAGCCUUGAUGUGUAGGAUAGGUGGGAGGCUUUGAAGUGUGGACGCCAGUCUGCAUGGAGCCGGCCUUGAAAUACCACCCUUUAAUGUUUGAUGUUCUAACGUGGACCCGUGAUCCGGGUUGCGGACAGUGUCUGGUGGGUAGUUUGACUGGGGCGGUCUCCUCCUAAAGAGUAACGGAGGAGCACGAAGGUUGGCUAAUCCUGGUCGGACAUCAGGAGGUUAGUGCAAUGGCAUAAGCCAGCUUGACUGCGAGCGUGACGGCGCGAGCAGGUGCGAAAGCAGGUCAUAGUGAUCCGGUGGUUCUGAAUGGAAGGGCCAUCGCUCAACGGAUAAAAGGUACUCCGGGGAUAACAGGCUGAUACCGCCCAAGAGUUCAUAUCGACGGCGGUGUUUGGCACCUCGAUGUCGGCUCAUCACAUCCUGGGGCUGAAGUAGGUCCCAAGGGUAUGGCUGUUCGCCAUUUAAAGUGGUACGCGAGCUGGGUUUAGAACGUCGUGAGACAGUUCGGUCCCUAUCUGCCGUGGGCGCUGGAGAACUGAGGGGGGCUGCUCCUAGUACGAGAGGACCGGAGUGGACGCAUCACUGGUGUUCGGGUUGUCAUGCCAAUGGCACUGCCCGGUAGCUAAAUGCGGAAGAGAUAAGUGCUGAAAGCAUCUAAGCACGAAACUUGCCCCGAGAUGAGUUCUCCCUGACCCUUUAAGGGUCCUGAAGGAACGUUGAAGACGACGACGUUGAUAGGCCGGGUGUGUAAGCGCAGCGAUGCGUUGAGCUAACCGGUACUAAUGAACCGUGAGGCUUAACCUU
This 2554-nucleotide ribosomal RNA is filed under the name Shigella sonnei. RNAcentral's name for it is "bacterial LSU rRNA". It matches the Rfam family "Bacterial large subunit ribosomal RNA", at positions 391 to 2925 of the family's 2925-position model. The record is from RNAcentral. Lineage: Bacteria; Pseudomonadati; Pseudomonadota; Gammaproteobacteria; Enterobacterales; Enterobacteriaceae.